RNAcentral lists this ribosomal RNA (254 nucleotides) under uncultured bacterium. Its description in RNAcentral is "partial 16S ribosomal RNA". It matches the Rfam family "Bacterial small subunit ribosomal RNA", at positions 524 to 776 of the family's 1533-position model. The record is from RNAcentral.
UACGGGGGGAGCAAGCGUUGUUCGGAUUUACUGGGCGUAAAGGGCGCGUAGGCGGCCACCGCAAGUCGAUUGUGAAAUCUCCGGGCUUAACCCGGAAAGGUCAACCGAUACUGCGGGGCUAGAGUGCAGAAGGGGCAACUGGAAUUCUCGGUGUAGCGGUGAAAUGCGUAGAUAUCGAGAGGAACACCUGCGGCGAAGGCGGGUUGCUGGGCUGACACUGACGCUGAACUGCGAAAGCUAGGGGAGCGAACGGG